Molecule: non-coding RNA, 328 nt
Organism: Firmicutes bacterium CAG:552
Lineage: Bacteria; Bacillati; Bacillota
Rfam family: Bacterial RNase P class A
About the family: Ribonuclease P (RNase P) is a ubiquitous endoribonuclease, found in archaea, bacteria and eukarya as well as chloroplasts and mitochondria.
Source: Rfam
CGAGAUAAGCAGACGAUCGCGUGAUUUCACGAGGAAAGUCCGAGCACCGCAGAACAGAAUGCCGGCUAACUACCGGUGAAGGCGACUUCAAGGAAAGUGCAACAGAAAUAAACCGCUGCUUUUAUGCGGUAAGGGUGGAAAGGCGAGGUAAGAGCUCACCGGCGCAGCGGCAACGAGGCGCGCUCUGUAAACCCCAUUCGGUGCAAGACGGUAAGGGAAUAUAAGGUUGUUCGCCCUCCCUUCAGUGUCGCUCGAGCGUAUCGGCAACGAUUCGCCUAGAUAGAUGAUCGUCAAAUACAGAACUCGGCUUACAGCUUAUUCUCGGGAU